Molecule: ribosomal RNA, 468 nt
Filed under: uncultured bacterium
Lineage: Bacteria
Description: partial 16S ribosomal RNA
Rfam family: Bacterial small subunit ribosomal RNA
Source: RNAcentral
GACGAACGCUGGCGGCGUGCUUAACACAUGCAAGUCGAACGGAAAGGCCCUGCUUUUGUGGGGUGCUCGAGUGGCGAACGUGUGAGUAACACGUGAGUAACCUGCCCUUGACUUUGGGAUAACUUCAGGAAACUGGGGCUAAUACCGGAUAGGAGCUCCUGCUGCAUGGUGGGGGUUGGAAAGUUUCGGCGGUUGGGGAUGGACUCGCGGCUUAUCAGCUUGUUGGUGGGGUAGUGGCUUACCAAGGCUUUGACGGGUAGCCGGCCUGAGAGGGUGACCGGACACAUUGGGACUGAGAUACGGCCCAGACUCCUACGGGAGGCAGCAGUGGGGAAUAUUGCACAAUGGGCGGAAGCCUGAUGCAGCAACGCCGCGUGCGGGAUGACGGCCUUCGGGUUGUAAACCGCUUUCGCCUGUGACGAAGCGUGAGUGACGGUAAUGGGUAAAGAAGCACCGGCUAACUACGUG